RNAcentral lists this ribosomal RNA (388 nucleotides) under Candidatus Liberibacter solanacearum. Its description in RNAcentral is "bacterial SSU rRNA". It matches the Rfam family "Bacterial small subunit ribosomal RNA", at positions 174 to 594 of the family's 1533-position model. Lineage: Bacteria; Pseudomonadati; Pseudomonadota; Alphaproteobacteria; Hyphomicrobiales; Rhizobiaceae. The record is from RNAcentral.
UACGCCCUGAGAAGGGGAAAGAUUUAUUGGAGAGAGAUGAGCCCGCGUUAGAUUAGCUAGUUGGUGGGGUAAAUGCCUACCAAGGCUACGAUCUAUAGCUGGUCUGAGAGGACGAUCAGCCACACUGGGACUGAGACACGGCCCAGACUCCUACGGGAGGCAGCAGUGGGGAAUAUUGGACAAUGGGGGCAACCCUGAUCCAGCCAUGCCGCGUGAGUGAAGAAGGCCUUANGGUUGUAAAGCUCUUUCGCCGGAGAAGAUAAUGACGGUAUCCGGAGAAGAAGUCCCGGCUAACUUCGUGCCAGCAGCCGCGGUAAUACGAAGGGGGCGAGCGUUGUUCGGAAUAACUGGGCGUAAAGGGCGCGUANGCGGGUNAUUAAGUUANGGU